UACGUAGGGUGCAAGCGUUGUCCGGAAUUAUUGGGCGUAAAGAGCUCGUAGGUGGCGUGUCGCGUCUGCCGUGAAAGCCCAUGGCUUAACUGUGGGUCUGCGGUGGAUACGGGCAGGCUGGAGGCUGGUAGGGGCAAGCGGAAUUCCUGGUGUAGCGGUGAAAUGCGCAGAUAUCAGGAGGAACACCGGUGGCGAAGGCGGCUUGCUGGGCCAGUUCUGACGCUGGAGGAGCGAAAGCGUGGGGAGCGAACAGG
RNAcentral lists this ribosomal RNA (254 nucleotides) under uncultured bacterium. Its description in RNAcentral is "partial 16S ribosomal RNA". It matches the Rfam family "Bacterial small subunit ribosomal RNA", at positions 524 to 776 of the family's 1533-position model. The record is from RNAcentral.